AUGAAAGUCUUCCAGCACCAGCUAAGGGAGGUCUACUGCAACAAAGAAGAUCAUUAAUCUUUAGAACCUCUUCUGCUGCCCCAGCUGAGGAAAUUACAACAGCAGGUACACGACCAAGUUGGAGAAGCAUGACUGGGCCAUAUUUCUUGGAGAGUUGCCACAAGGAGCGGUGAGGCAAUCCUCCAAGUUGAUGAAGGUUGCCUAUAAUUGGAAACUUGUGAGGGCUUGGUGGAAGAUGCUCGUUUUCUCUUUCAACUCCCAUCUUUCUUUUAAUUAGAAGUAGAAAAGGGAGAAGGAAAACAGGCAUCCACAAGGAUAAGGUAUAGAGAACCAUUGUAUUUUACUUAA
Molecule: unclassified non-coding RNA, 348 nt
Filed under: Hevea brasiliensis (rubber tree)
Lineage: Eukaryota; Viridiplantae; Streptophyta; Magnoliopsida; Malpighiales; Euphorbiaceae
Source: RNAcentral